Salmo salar (Atlantic salmon) is the source of this 54-nucleotide non-coding RNA. NCBI's taxonomy places the organism in Eukaryota, Metazoa, Chordata, Actinopteri, Salmoniformes, Salmonidae. The record is from Rfam.
AAUGCACCAAUUUGUAAGUCGCUCUGGAUAAGAGCGUCUGCUAAAUGUAAAAUG